This 497-nucleotide ribosomal RNA is filed under the name uncultured bacterium. RNAcentral's name for it is "partial 16S ribosomal RNA". It matches the Rfam family "Bacterial small subunit ribosomal RNA", at positions 28 to 507 of the family's 1533-position model. The record is from RNAcentral.
GAUGAACGCUGGCGGCGUGCCUAAUACAUGCAAGUCGAGCGAACAGACGAGGAGCUUGCUCCUCUGACGUUAGCGGCGGACGGGUGAGUAACACGUGGAUAACCUACCUAUAAGACUGGGAUAACUUCGGGAAACCGGAGCUAAUACCGGAUAAUAUAUUGAACCGCAUGGUUCAAUAGUGAAAGACGGUUUUGCUGUCACUUAUAGAUGGAUCCGCGCCGCAUUAGCUAGUUGGUAAGGUAACGGCUUACCAAGGCAACGAUGCGUAGCCGACCUGAGAGGGUGAUCGGCCACACUGGAACUGAGACACGGUCCAGACUCCUACGGGAGGCAGCAGUAGGGAAUCUUCCGCAAUGGGCGAAAGCCUGACGGAGCAACGCCGCGCGAGUGAUGAAGGUCUUCGGAUCGUAAAACUCUGUUAUUAGGGAAGAACAAAUGUGUAAGUAACUAUGCACGUCUUGACGGUACCUAAUCAGAAAGCCACGGCUAACUACGUG